Molecule: microRNA precursor, 83 nt
Filed under: Mus pahari (shrew mouse)
Lineage: Eukaryota; Metazoa; Chordata; Mammalia; Rodentia; Muridae
Description: microRNA 3108 (MGP_PahariEiJ_G0007204.1)
Source: RNAcentral
CACAACCAGGGUCUCUAAAGCUAGACAUUCUAGAGAAUUUUUUUUUUUAUUUCGGCGUCUAGGUCUAGAGUCUCAAGGAAGUG